GCGUGAGUGAUGAAGGCCUUCGGGUUGUAAAACUCUUUCGACGGGGACGAUAAUGACGGUACCCGUAGAAGAAGCUCCGGCUAACUUCGUGCCAGCAGCCGCGGUAAUACGAAGGGGGCUAGCGUUGUUCGGAAUUACUGGGCGUAAAGCGCGCGCAGGCGGUCUUCCAAGUCAGUGGUGAAAGCCUGGAGCUCAACUCCAGAACUGCCAUUGAAACUGUUAGACUUGAGUACGAGAGAGGUGAGUGGAAUUCCCAGUGUAGAGGUGAAAUUCGU
RNAcentral lists this ribosomal RNA (275 nucleotides) under uncultured bacterium. RNAcentral's name for it is "partial 16S ribosomal RNA". It matches the Rfam family "Bacterial small subunit ribosomal RNA", at positions 399 to 691 of the family's 1533-position model. The record is from RNAcentral.